UGGGGGAUAUUGCACAAUGGGCGAAAGCCUGAUGCAGCGACGCCGCGUGGGGGAUGAAGGCCUUCGGGUUGUAAACUUCUUUUGCUCUGAACAAGGCAUGCUAAUGGGUGUGUUGAGUGUAGGGGUUGAUUAGCGCCGGCUAACUACGUGCCAGCAGCCGCGGUAAUACGUAGGGCGCGAGCGUUGUCCGGAAUUAUUGGGCGUAAAGGGCUUGUAGGUGGCUGGUUGCGUCUGUCGUGAAAGCUCAUGGCUUAACUGUGGGUUUGCGGUGGGUACGGGCUGGCUUGAGUGCAGGAGGGGAGGCUGGAAUUACUGGUGUAGCGGUUGAAUGCGCAGAUAUCAGGAGGAAUACCGGUGGAGAAGGCGGGUCUCUGGGCUGUUACUGACACUGAGGAGCGAAAGCAUGGGGAGCGAACAGG
This 419-nucleotide ribosomal RNA is filed under the name bacterium. RNAcentral describes it as "partial 16S ribosomal RNA". It matches the Rfam family "Bacterial small subunit ribosomal RNA", at positions 355 to 776 of the family's 1533-position model. The record is from RNAcentral.